GUUUUUCCAUGGAUCCACUCUCUUCUAUCAGUCUACUGAUUAAGUUUCACUCCAUCAGUAUGACCUGUCUAUCAUCUGCCUACUGGAAACUGGACCUUACUGUCAUUCUGUAUCAUAAUACCCUGUGUUACUUGAGCUCUGUGUCAGUUAUUAUAUAUUAAUUUAUCAUGAAGAGCCUGUUUCCUUCACUUGAGAAUAAGCUGUCAGAAGACAAGAAUUUUGUCUUCUUUGUGGGAUAUACAGUCUCUCUACAAAUACCUGGCUUAUGGUAAUUAUUUGAUAAGUCUUUGUUCAAGACACAAAUAAAUAUGUGUGGGCUUGGGCCUCAACAUAUAAGACAUAUAAAUAUAUUAUUGACCAUGACAGGAGGAGAAUAUAUUCAGAAAUGACUACUUUGAAAAUCAUUCUCAAUUGUAUAUGUUCUCUAAAUUUUUGGAGAGUUUAGCUGACAAUAAAACAUUUAAAGAGGCUAUUAUCAGUUCUCUACCAUAUAGCAUCUGCUGAUUGAAAUAGAUUAUAGAUCAAUUGUGACAGGCAAAUCCUGCUGAUAUUACAGCAAUAAGAUGUGGGCCUUUAAGAGGUGGAUAGACCAUGAGAGGUUGACCUCAGGGGUGGGAGUAGUGAUUUUAUAAAAUGAUGAGUUGAUCUGCUUUCUCUCUCUUUCACACUCUCACAUCCUCCAUGUGAUCAUAUGGCAUGAAGUCUUCUCCAGUUGCUGGUGCAUUGAUUGGACUUUCUAGCCUCUAGGACUGUGAGCCAAUAAAUUUCUGUGCAUUGUUAGUUACCCAGUCUCAGGUAUUCUGUUACAACAGCACAAAAUGAACAAGAUAAUACUUAGAAUUUAAAUUUAAAAAAUAUAAUUAAAUAUAGUAUUUAUUUGUGUAUCUCUAGUAGUAAUUUUUCUUUUAACCCACAGUGUAAUAGAAAAAUAUGUUUUAAAAGUCAAAUACUUGGGUUCAAAUCCCAGCUCUUUCAAAUCCAAGUUGGGGAGAUUGGAAUAAAUUUUACUUCUUUCUUGUAUUCUUAGGGUUUUUUUCUUACCUAGCAUUGAGCAACUCAUUGCCUGCUAUCCUUCUUUUCUUAAAUCCCACCACACCUACUGGGAAAAAAUAAAAUAUUCAAAAAUAACAAGGGGAUUCAUCAAAACUUUAAUGUGUAAAAGCAACAAUUUAAUAUUAAAAUUCUACAUAGUCAUUGUGGCUAUUUACAAGAGGAGCUUAUUAAAGUGGUUAACAUGAGUGGGGUUGCACUUGUCAUAUUUAAUGACAAGGGGGAUAGUUUUCACAAAUAAAUGCAGAAUAGACAUGAGAAUUACUCUGUGGCUCAUUUUUGAUUGACUAUUUCUCUCUGCUGGAUAUUUAUGAUGCAAACAAGCCUGACUCCUAAUACAUUCACAUGUCACUGAAAUACAGGAAUGUGUACUGAGAAAUGUGUUGUUAACAAACAUCAUAUAGCGUACUCAAAGAUGGCUUUGAGAUCCUUAGGUGAUAUAUGGUCCUAUAUAUCCCACUGUUGACUGAAAUGUAAAAUGUGGUUCAUGACUACUUAGCCAAUUGGUUAGCAUCCGUAAAGCUCCAAUGUGUUUUCUGAAGGUCUUGUCUUAAUUUGAGCCUGGUGAAUGAUCUUAACCUCAUUUUGUAGAUUCUACACAAAGCAUCAGCUGGGUUUCUAAAUACUCAUUGCUAAAUUCCCUUCCCG
RNAcentral lists this long non-coding RNA (1698 nucleotides) under Marmota monax (woodchuck). The record is from RNAcentral. Lineage: Eukaryota; Metazoa; Chordata; Mammalia; Rodentia; Sciuridae.